Molecule: ribosomal RNA, 196 nt
Filed under: Salmonella enterica subsp. enterica serovar Moscow str. SA20061414
Lineage: Bacteria; Pseudomonadati; Pseudomonadota; Gammaproteobacteria; Enterobacterales; Enterobacteriaceae
Description: partial 16S ribosomal RNA
Rfam family: Bacterial small subunit ribosomal RNA
Source: RNAcentral
UUAAAUUGAAGAGUUUGAUCAUGGCUCAGAUUGAACGCUGGCGGCAGGCCUAACACAUGCAAGUCGAACGGUAACAGGAAGCAGCUUGCUGCUUUGCUGACGAGUGGCGGACGGGUGAGUAAUGUCUGGGAAACUGCCUGAUGGAGGGGGAUAACUACUGGAAACGGUGGCUAAUACCGCAUAACGUCGCAAGACC